RNA transcript from Numida meleagris (helmeted guineafowl), 4080 nucleotides. It is a transcript of the gene named sperm associated antigen 16, with no coding region annotated. The record is from RefSeq and is a predicted model, not a curated record. The transcript has 19 exons. Lineage: Eukaryota; Metazoa; Chordata; Aves; Galliformes; Numididae.
CUGAAGGGGCAGUAAACGCCACCUGGAGUUACACAGCCUCCUCUCGCGAGAGCCGCGCCUCCCUGGUAACGGCGGGUGGCUGCGGACAUGGAGGAGGAGGAGGCGGACGCGGCGGGCUCUGAGGCGUCCUUCUGCCUGCAGAAAAUUACUAUCACAGACUACUCUAAGGAUGAUUAUCAGUACGAAGAGGUGUCAGCAGACGAUGAGUUUAGUCUUCAGGAAGGUGAUGAGGAUCUGUCUGAGCUGCUGCAGGCUGUUCAAGAGCAGGCUGAAGAUGCCCACAUUUUAGCUUCCAAAUCAGUUCUGACUUCUGAGAAAUCAGUGUCUGAAACACCUGAAGCGAUGGAUGACUUCUUCUGCAAUUUUCUCGUCAGUCUGGGUAUGUCCAGAACACUUGACUGCUUCCAGACUGAAUGGUAUGAACUCGUAGAGAGAGGUGCGUUCACAGCCAAAGACAUCGGGUUCGUGCCGACUGUGUAUACCUGCAACCAGGAGCUUAAGGCUGACAAUAUGCGUUUGAGGAAAGAUUUGGACAACUAUAAAUGUGCUGCUAACAAAGCAAAGGAGGCUUUCCUGAAAAUGCAGAAAGAACGUGACUUCCAUAGAAUGCACCAUAAGCAAGUGGUCCAGGAGAAAAACAGGCUUAUAUGUGACAUGAAAAGGCUGAAGGCGCAUUACGCUUCGUAUGAACCAGUGCUGAAGCAGAUGACUGAGAAAUACCAGUCAGUACUGAGACAGAAAAUGUUAACUAGUUUGGAAAGAGACAGAGCAGUUGGGCAGGUUACAGGUUUACAAGCUACAUUACAUAAUUUAGAGUCCGGAUGUGCAGUUCAGAUUCCUGUGAAAAAAGCUGGCCGUGAAUGGGAAAGGAAGAAGGGUUUGGAAGAUCCCGCCCAGAAAGCUCUUCAGGAAGCAAGGCAGCAAAAAAUGCUUGAUGUUGGUCCGGUUAAUGACUCAGAGAAGAAGAGAUAUCCUAAGGAUUCGGAGUUCCCUGUAGAUACGCAAGUGAACCCAUCCCUUGCUGGUGCCAAGAAGUACAGUCGAUCCCUGAAAUACGGAGAGUAUAAACUGAGCAACACUUUAAAACUGCAUGACUCAGCAGUGAGCUGCUUGGCCUCACAUCCCCAGAAAGACAUGGUAGUCACUGGCAGUGAUGACCGCCUCUGGAAAAUGUGGGCUUUACCUGAUGGGGACAUCAUCAUGGUGGGUGAAGGUCACUCUGAUUGGGUUUCGGGCUGCUGCUUCCAUCCAAGUGGCACUCACUUGAUCACUUCAAGUGGGGAUACAACAGUACGGAUAUGGGACCUCUCAAAAGGUGGAUGUGUUCUGACUUUGGAAGGACAUGGCCAAGCUGUAUGGGACUGCUCAUGGCAUUCAUGUGGUGAUUUUGUGGCUUCUGCCUCUAAGGACAGCACAAGUAAAAUAUGGGAUGUCAACAGUGAGAGAUGCAGAUAUACCAUGCGUGGCCAUAAAGAUUCAGUCAGUAGCAUUGAAUUUCUUCCAUUCUCCAACACUGUUCUCACCAGCUCUGCUGACAAGACUUUAUCUCUCUGGGACGCCAGAACAGGUCUCCGUGUUUAUACGUUCUAUGGUCACCUGCAUUCCUGUAAUCAUGCUACAUUCAGCCUGGAGAAGAGCUCCUCUCGCCAACUGAUGUUAAGAAAAAGAAUGCCCCAGGAAGGGAGUACCAGACUCCAGGUGCAUCUUAGAAAUGCGUAUUUCCCCACUCUGUCUCAGUCUGAGGCAGCCAAGGCUGUUCGUCAUGCGUCUUCUGGGGCUCGAUGCCAGGCAGUUUCCAGCUGCAGCUCCUCGAACCUCUCUUCAUGCACACAGAACAGACCCCAACAGCGCUGCAUCGCCAGGCGAGGGGAGGGGAACAUGAUUGCUUCCUGUGAUACCGACGGCGCGCUGAAGUUGUGGGAUGUUCGGCAGGCAGCCCCCAUCAUGUCUGUGGAUACAGGCCCCCGUUCCGCCAACCAGCUUGCCUUCGAUCACUCUGGAACUCUCAGGGCACCAAUACUGACCCAGAGAAGCUAGACAAGUAUCCAGCAGUGGUUUCUACCAGCUUACUGACUCAGACCACCUGAAGACUCUUGAAACACCAAGAAACCAGCGAAUGUAUUAUGAAGAUAACAUUACAUGCAGUACAGUCAUGGAUGUGCUGCUUCUGAUAUAGAAGUUCAAGAGUAGAGGAAAAACUUCUUCAGAAUAAGAGCACAAGAUAAGGACCAGCGUUACUGAAGUCACCUUCUCUGAAGUUGCUCCACAAACAAGAAUUAAGGUCACGGCAGUGCCAGCUCCGUGCUGUGCCAGCAUUGAUGGACACGGUCCCCUUCCAUGGGCACGCAGAAACCAAACUCUGCAUUCUGAAAUCUGAUGUUUCCCAAUAGCUCAGUGGGACUGAGGUCCCACACUUGAAAGCAGCCUAAGGAUUGUUGCUAGAAUGCCAUCUUGCCUUGCUCCUUAUCUUGCUUUUUUUCCUCAAGGUACAUUGACUUGGAGACAUGUGCCCACAUACAGAUAGUAUAGGUUAACACUGAAAUCUAUUUCUAUGCACAACAUUAUUCUCCUUUGGGAGAAAUUUUCAACAAAAAAAAAAAAAAUCCAGCUCCAGACAGAAGAUGGAGAUUCUCUUACCCUUUUAUUCUUAAUAUAUUAAUUUUGGAUAUCUUCUGAAUGUAUCCAAGAGUUCCUGAAUUCUUCCAAACAGGUUUUGACAUCUUGAAGAUGCUGCUCCUAAAGUUUCUGCUUUAAGACUAUUUUGUUUUAAAACUGUUUUCAAAAUUCCAACUGCCACCAGAAGGCCAAAUAAAAUCAAAUAGAAACAAGCUCAAGUCCAGCUGAAAGGGAGCUUUACAGUAAUGGUCCGGGUGUAGAAAUCCUUACAAAAAGCUUAAAGUUCUUUUAUAUGAAGGAUUUUCUUCUAUCAGAUAAAUGCUUUCUUUGCUAUAAGUGACUUUCUGGUGAUUUUUUGAUUGAAAAAGGAUUUGUUGAGUUCUGAGAUCUGUUUAAGCUCUGGAAAUAAUGCCCCUUCAUCUCGACCACAUUUUUUCUUCCAGUAAGGAGUUAAGAGAAGUCCCCUAUGCCUGCUGGCCAACCAUUUUUCCACACCCCUGCUCUUUCAAGGGAGAUGCAUGCAGCCAUAUCCUGCUGCACAUUUACAUCUCAUCCAAGACCAAUAUCUACACACAUACUUCUGUCGGCACACUGCACGGGUACAGUUUUUCUGUCUUCCAAGGAAAUCACCUUUACACUGAGAAAUUUGAUUAAGGAACUUCUCAGCACUUUAUUUUCUUUUAUUGCCUUCUGUAAAUACUUGGGUCUAAGAAACUUGCGUUAUAUGCUCCCACCCAGUCUAUAAAGCUGCCUUUUUAUCAGGUCUAAUUAUCGCCAAAUAAUCAUGAAAUUGUUCAUUACAAGACCAGCUACUAUAACACUCCUGCCUUGAUGAAUCUGUUUUCAAUUCACUGAUCCUACUAUCAUUUAAGCAGGUGAUUACUGAAUUUGAAUGACUUCACCUGCAUAAGGUGAGUCAUGAGUUUAAGUACAUUGAGAUUGUUUUCUCUAAUGUGCUUUGCCAAAUCUCUGCCUAUUUAAGUACUUCAGAGAAGGGAAAAAAGCCAUUACACUAAAGAAUGGUAAAAGGUUUUUGUUUUGAUACCAAUAUAUGGAGAAUGUAUGUCAGCAGAUUGUUGGAGCUCUUCUCUCUUUCCCAGCUUGCCUUUUGGUCACCAUUAUUAGGAAUAUUAAAAUGAAUUACAGCCUGCUCAAGAUUGUUCUUCUAUCCUCUCCCAGGAAAGGCCCCAGUAAACACACUAGGGAAGCAAAGGGAGGAGGAGGUUGCCAUCAUUUCCAAGAGGGGAAUACUUAGGAGGAUUUAUUCCCAGUUGAGGGUGGAAGACUUAGAAGAAUGUUAAAAAGUGCAUUCCUAAGCAAAACAUAGUGUAUAUUUGGAAGAUGAGAAAUAAUUGCUGUAUUUGUUGAAAGCUGUUUAUAGAACAAAAAAAAAAGUGAAACAUCUAUCGUAUGGUGAAGUCAGUUGCUUGGUAAAUAACAUUCCGCAUGGUGUGACAGUAAUGA